ACGGAGGGUGCAAGCGUUAUUCGGAUUCACUGGGUGUAAAGCGUACGUAGGCGGUCUGUUAAGUCAGAUGUGAAAUCUUCCGGCUCAACCGGGGAAUUGCCUUUGAUACUGGCAAGCUUGAGUCUCGUAGAGGGAGGUAGAAUUCCAGGUGUAGCGGUGAAAUGCGUAGAGAUCUGGAGGAAUACCGGUGGCGAAGGCGGCCCCCUGGACGAAGACUGACGCUCAGGUGCGAAAGCGUGGGGAGCAAACAG
This 251-nucleotide ribosomal RNA is filed under the name uncultured prokaryote. RNAcentral describes it as "partial 16S rRNA". It matches the Rfam family "Bacterial small subunit ribosomal RNA", at positions 525 to 775 of the family's 1533-position model. The record is from RNAcentral.